AGCUCCGUGGUGAGUUCACAUUAGAUUGCAAAUCUAAAGACGCGGAUUGACGUCCGCCGGGGCUU
Molecule: transfer RNA, 65 nt
Filed under: Paedocypris progenetica
Lineage: Eukaryota; Metazoa; Chordata; Actinopteri; Cypriniformes
Also listed under: 3 other names
Description: tRNA-Cys
Rfam family: tRNA
About the family: Transfer RNA (tRNA) molecules are approximately 80 nucleotides in length. Their secondary structure includes four short double-helical elements and three loops (D, anti-codon, and T loops).
Source: RNAcentral